RNAcentral lists this ribosomal RNA (512 nucleotides) under Candida albicans. RNAcentral's name for it is "eukaryotic LSU rRNA". The stretch from base 145 to 298 matches the Rfam family "5.8S ribosomal RNA". The record is from RNAcentral. Lineage: Eukaryota; Fungi; Ascomycota; Pichiomycetes; Serinales; Debaryomycetaceae.
UUGCUUCUGAUUUGCUUAUUGCACCACAUGUGUUUUUCUUUGAAACAAACUUGCUUUGGCGGUGGGCCCAGCCUGCCGCCAGAGGUCUAAACUUACAACCAAUUUUUUAUCAACUUGUCACACCAGAUUAUUACUAAUAGUCAAAACUUUCAACAACGGAUCUCUUGGUUCUCGCAUCGAUGAAGAACGCAGCGAAAUGCGAUACGUAAUAUGAAUUGCAGAUAUUCGUGAAUCAUCGAAUCUUUGAACGCACAUUGCGCCCUCUGGUAUUCCGGAGGGCAUGCCUGUUUGAGCGUCGUUUCUCCCUCAAACCGCUGGGUUUGGUGUUGAGCAAUACGACUUGGGUUUGCUUGAAAGACGGUAGUGGUAAGGCGGGAUCGCUUUGACAAUGGCUUAGGUCUAACCAAAAACAUUGCUUGCGGCGGUAACGUCCACCACGUAUAUCUUCAAACUUUGACCUCAAAUCAGGUAGGACUACCCGCUGAACUUAAGCAUAUCAAUAAGCGGAGGAA